This 324-nucleotide ribosomal RNA is filed under the name uncultured eukaryote. RNAcentral's name for it is "partial 18S ribosomal RNA". It matches the Rfam family "Eukaryotic small subunit ribosomal RNA", at positions 1470 to 1796 of the family's 1831-position model. The record is from RNAcentral.
CCCUUAGAUGUCCUGGGCUGCACGCGCGCUACACUGAUGUGUCCAGUAAGCACCUAACCUAUUCCGAGAGGAGCGGGUAACCUUAGCAAAGCACAUCGUGAUGGGGAUAGAUUAUUGCAAUUAUUAGUCUUGAACGAGGAAUUCCUAGUAAGCACAAGUCAUCAGCUUGUGUUGAUUACGUCCCUGCCCUUUGUACACACCGCCCGUCGCUCCUACCGAUUGAACGUUCCGGUGAGCUCUUCGGACUGCGCGGUCUGCAGUUUCUGCGUUCCGUGCGGAAAGUUGUGCAAACCUUAACAUUUAGAGGAAGGAGAAGUCGUAACA